CAUACCAUAUUCGUCCAGAGGUGCUUGAUCAUAGUAGCCUGUAAUGACAUAUUCAGCCGUUGAUCUUCCAAAAUUGGUUCCUCCAUGAUACUAGGAGAAACAAUGAAAAGGGCUACAUGAAAUGCAAUAUUCUCUGCUGAUCUUAUGUACGGUUCGUCUCCAUAAACUUGAUAGCUGCAACCGAACACUCGUAAGAAACUAAUAUCAAUCCAGGGUCAGGUGCAUCGUCUUGCUUGCACAUGGUCCAUGGCACACCAGUCUGAAGGCUAACCGCCAUGUUUGCUGCCCAUUUAACAUAAGGAGGUCCUUUCUCAUGAAAGGAUGCCUCCACCAUCGAGUAUUCAUUCUCAAUCUGCAACUCCAUUGACGAGUUUUCUUAAAGGAGUGAAAGUAUAAAGGAGUUAAAGAAGGAGGUCCAUUGGUGGUGUUGCCCACUGGCUCAAACCUGUGAAAGUAUAAUUGGCCCUCCCUGUGAAGCAUAUAAGCCUUCCGACUUCAUCAUGUUCACUAUCUUCGUGGUGAAGUUUUGCAUGUGAAGCUGCCAUUAAAGGUGCAUGAUGACCAUGAAAACGUAACAGCAUUACAUUUUGAUACCAAUAUUCCGGUAAAGAAGAAGAAAACAAUACCUUGAAUGGUUCGUUAUCAGAUCGAUAAACAAUUCCCGGAAUAUCAUGUAGCCAAAAUGGUAGACCACUGCAUCAGAAAGUUGAGACAAGGACUAAGAAAUGGUCAUUUUUAAAGGGAUGUAAAGUUAUAAAGGAAUGUUCCAUGUGUUCUUACCCGUAACUCCAUUCCGCUUCAAUGAAGGGUCCAAUUCUUAGGCAAGC
Non-coding RNA from Cucurbita pepo subsp. pepo (vegetable marrow), 827 nucleotides. The record is from RefSeq and is a predicted model, not a curated record. NCBI's taxonomy places the organism in Eukaryota, Viridiplantae, Streptophyta, Magnoliopsida, Cucurbitales, Cucurbitaceae.